This 110-nucleotide non-coding RNA is filed under the name unidentified. RNAcentral's name for it is "Candidatus Burkholderia TPP sequence". It matches the Rfam family "TPP riboswitch aptamer (THI element)". From Rfam's summary of the family: Vitamin B(1) in its active form thiamin pyrophosphate (TPP) is an essential coenzyme that is synthesised by coupling of pyrimidine and thiazole moieties in bacteria. The record is from RNAcentral.
UUGACGAAACAGGGGUGCUUCGCGCGUGGUUUUAAGCGUGACGAGGCUGAGAGAGACCCUUUGCACCCGAUCCGGGUAAUACCGGCGAGGGAAGUUUCCGGAGCACGCGU